Non-coding RNA from Caenorhabditis elegans, 121 nucleotides. NCBI's taxonomy places the organism in Eukaryota, Metazoa, Nematoda, Chromadorea, Rhabditida, Rhabditidae. The record is from Ensembl.
CUCGUGUCUCUUUGCCGCAUUCGAUUAUUCUCAUCUUCCCGAAGGUUAGCUUCUUCCCGCCGGGGGGACAGAUCAACUCUCUAUUUCCAAUUCUCUGGUACACUCCGCGUUGCGUUGCUUC